Argiope bruennichi is the source of this 1090-nucleotide long non-coding RNA. RefSeq lists it as uncharacterized. The transcript is spliced from 3 exons. NCBI's taxonomy places the organism in Eukaryota, Metazoa, Arthropoda, Arachnida, Araneae, Araneidae. The record is from RefSeq and is a predicted model, not a curated record.
AUCUUGCAAAGUUGAAUUACGUAAUUGCUUGUCGCAGUACCUGAUGUCGAACUGCAUUUCUUAUUAUUGGUUAUUUCCAGACUGCGUGAAAAUGACGGUGCCAACAUAUUAACUACAGACGAGAGAAUUCAGCUUUAGAACUUCCAACUGUUUUAUUAACCGCCGAGAGAUCAAGAUAAGAAGGGGAAGUUGAUAAUCUCGUCUGAGCAAGGAUCUAGAUAUCGAUCUAAGGUUACCUUAAUCACGAUAAAAGCUUGCCUCUUGCCAAUUCUUCAAAGCCCUGAAAUCCACAAAUGGCUAGCUGGUUGGCGAGACGUCUGUCAAAAGUGCUUUUGCCGGCUUAGAUGAAUUUGGAAAUCGUGCAUGGUAUCCUGCUUAUUUCAAGUGCUUCAACUGUAAGAUGAACUUCUACAUGUGAACUCGAAUUUAAUUUUCUUUUCAAGAAUUUUCCUCAACUGUACUUGUCAGAUUAAAAUUAGUUUAAACUUUAUAGUUUUUCUAUAUAUAUAAUUGCUUUAGAUAGUAGUUUAAAGGGAACUUCAAUGUAUAUUAGCAUAGCUUUCAAAUUCAUAAAUAUAAAAUUUUGAUUCCUUUCUUAAACUUUGUUUCAAAUCCCCCUCGAAGGAAACGGACAACUACCGAAAACUAAAUUUCCCUCACCCGAUUAAAGACUAGUACUAAUGCGCAGGUAUUUGAUGCUGUGUCAAAAUUGGUAUUGAGAACUACAAAUUGUCGAUAACAAACUGUAUCAAACAAUUAAGCAAAGCAUUUAAAUACCACUUAAAUGUAUUUCAGUUGUGUCGGAAAUUCCGCUCACGAAUAUAAAUCUUCAAAUCGAUGCUUUAUAGCACUCAUUCAAAGCCUAAUUCGGCUGUACUCCGUGGUUUUCCGUCCAAUUUCGUGAAGCAAUAACUAGUAUUCUAAAUGAGUGGCGGCUUCCUAUGUCGGCGCUGUCUUAUGAAUAUUUGCCGUUAAAGCCCUUUCUUGCUUUUAUGAAGUCUAGCAGAAAUAUUAAAUAAUAGAUAAGGUUCUAAAUCUCUUCGGAAACAACCUUGCAUUAUUCGCUUGGUACAACCCUUGAACAUAUUUG